Molecule: long non-coding RNA, 402 nt
Organism: Daktulosphaira vitifoliae (grape phylloxera)
Lineage: Eukaryota; Metazoa; Arthropoda; Insecta; Hemiptera; Phylloxeridae
Exons: 3
Source: RefSeq, a predicted model, not a curated record
AUAUCAGACCCAUUAUGUAGCCAAGUGACUUUCAAUAUUAGCAAUAAUUUAAAUCCAUUUAUAAAACUUGUAUUUAAUAAUGUACCAAUUAGAAAAUUAGAUGAAAAACAAAUACCAUUGAAAUUAAAUGAAGUAUUUAAAAAGCUAAUUAACGAUGAAGAUUAUUUUGACCUAGAAGAACUAAAAAAAUGUAUUAAAAAAUUUAAGCUUAUUGACCUAAGAAAUCUAGAAUCUGGAUUUAAUUCUAUUUUACCAUUCCUAAUAAUUUUUGACUUUUUGUAUGGAAAGAAUAAAUCAGACUUAGACGAAAUAUUGAACACAAAAAGAAUUUUUAAUAAACUUCUCAGUGAAGAUAUCUUGUUUUGGAAAAAUAUUUUAAGAGAUUAUUUAUUAAAUGAUCAC